UACGUAUGGUGCAAGCGUUAUCCGGGUUUACUGGGUGUAAAGGGAGCGCAGGCGGCACGGCAAGCCUGAUGUGAAAGCCCGCGGCCCAACCGCGGGACUGCAUUGGGAACUACCGGGCUGGAGUGCCGGAGAGGUAGGCGGAAUUCCUAGUGUAGCGGUGAAAUGCGUAGAUAUUAGGAGGAACACCAGUGGCGAAGGCGGCCUACUGGACGGUGACUGACGCCGAGGCUCGAAAGCGUGGGGAGCAAACAGG
RNAcentral lists this ribosomal RNA (253 nucleotides) under uncultured bacterium. Its description in RNAcentral is "partial 16S ribosomal RNA". It matches the Rfam family "Bacterial small subunit ribosomal RNA", at positions 524 to 776 of the family's 1533-position model. The record is from RNAcentral.